RNAcentral lists this unclassified non-coding RNA (1497 nucleotides) under Hevea brasiliensis (rubber tree). The record is from RNAcentral. Lineage: Eukaryota; Viridiplantae; Streptophyta; Magnoliopsida; Malpighiales; Euphorbiaceae.
AUAGGUUUGUCUUGUUUUGCGUGCAAAUUGUUAUGUUAAUGCAACAAUUGUGCACCUUUAUCUAUUUCUUGCUUAACAUCAUGGUGAUGGUGCUUACUUGCAUGAUUGGUUGAUGUUUAUGUGACGUUGAGUCUUGAAUAAUGGUAAAUGCUUUAUUGAAUUCUUAAAUAUUUGUUUUGGUCCAUGGGAUUAUCAUCCAUUAUGCAUGCUUUUCAGUUUAGUGCUGUUUUCUUCUGUUUCUAAGCUCUUGCUUUUCUGGUAACCUUACCAGUUGUCCUUAAUUUAUGAUGCCAGAUCAUGGCCCAAGUUAAUGUAUUAAUAUUAAUGUGCAAAUACAAGGCAUAAAUGAUCUGUGAUAUCUUGGGGAUAAGAACUACUCUGCUAUUUACUGUGUACUAGAUAUUUGCCUUUUGAAUUUGGUAAAUAUCUUUGCUUGUGAGUCCAUAAAAGCUUAAUUAUGUUAGUGUGCAUUUUAAUGUGGCCCUUAUCUGUAAUUAAUUUUCCUUAAUUGCUAGUAGUCUUUUGUUGAGGUUUAUGAUCAAACCAAGUUUGGAUAGUCAUGACCCAUGAGUGGGUCCUGGAGCCAAUUUUUUGUGAAAGGAGUAAUGCUUACCCCUUUGGAUAAUCAGACAAAUGUGGAAGAAUAUUUCGUUAGCAGACAAAAUAAGACUCAUAUGCCUAUAAAUAAAAAGCUUAGCUUGGCCGAUUUUGCUAUUAAUUAGUUGUGAAGAGAUGGCAAAAUUAUCCUCCUCCUGCCUUUUCCUUGUCCUCCUAUUCUUAGCAGCAGGUCAAUAUCUCCUCACUCUCUUAUUUUUCAGUUUGCGUUCUUGUGUUUUAGUUGUACUGUGCAUACAGAUCUAAACUGGGUUAAGGGUUUUGUCUAAGACAGAGAAACCAAAACUCAAACAGAUCUUUGAAAUGAUCUUUUUCUCUUGUACCUUUUUCCUCUUUCUUUCUCUAUGAAUUGUGUCCAAUGUGUUAUUAAUCCAAUUCUUUCCUGGUAUCUUUUUGGCAAGAAUAUGACAUGGAUGCUGAAUUUUCUUGUGGCAGCUGAAGGUGGACUAUGCCAAGCAGGAGAGCCUUACCAGUGUAUUAUCAGCUGGGACUGUCAAGACAAUAAAGCUUGCAAGAAGGAAUGCAGCACCAAUUACCGGCGAGGCCGUGGAUUCUGCACAGGCAGUCCUAAAGCCUGCUUAUGUACCUAUGAUUGUUCUCAUUGAUAUGCUUGUAGAAUUGUAUGCAAGGCAAUAUACAAGAUACCAUACAAGAUGGAAGAUGAAACUGUAAUGCUUAAAAUAAAGUUACAAGAUUUAUGAUGGUGUCACAUAUUCUAAUUGAAAUGUAUGAUCUGCAAUGAAGAGUUCCUUCUGUUUCACAUAAGCAAUCAAAGGGGUUAUGUGAAAAUUUCACUACUUGGGAUUGGGUUAUUCUUUGAUUGCUGAUUCAUUUUGUGUUGGUAGUCAAUUGAGAAUUAUUGGAAGGUGUUAUUGACCAUGA